GUACCUCACAUUCUGUCCUGAAUAAAGGGCCACUCAAGCACAGUAUCUGUUCUUAUCAGUGUAAUACCUGAUAUGUUCUCUUUCAGAGAACUUUGUAUUAAAUGGAUUUUUGGAACAAGGAGCUGGAAUAGGAGCUUGCUUCACCCACUCCAUGCAUCAACCUGGUAUUGCAGUGCUUCCAGGUAUAAAAGCCACAGGA
Terrapene triunguis (Three-toed box turtle) is the source of this 199-nucleotide small nuclear RNA. Its record names the gene U2. It matches the Rfam family "U2 spliceosomal RNA". From Rfam's summary of the family: U2 is a small nuclear RNA (snRNA) component of the spliceosome (involved in pre-mRNA splicing). Complementary binding between U2 snRNA (in an area lying towards the 5' end but 3' to hairpin I) and the branchpoint sequence (BPS) of the intron results the bulging out of an unpaired adenosine, on the BPS, which initiates a nucleophilic attack at the intronic 5' splice site, thus starting the first of two transesterification reactions that mediate splicing. The record is from Ensembl. Lineage: Eukaryota; Metazoa; Chordata; Testudines; Emydidae.